CCAGCUCCAAUAGCGUAUAUUUAAGUUGUUGCAGUUAAAAAGCUCGUAGUUGGAUUUUGGGUUGGAGGAGUCGGUCUGCCGACAGGUUGAACUGUUCCCUCCAUCCUUCUUGUCGAAGACGUAUUCUGGCCUUUAUUGGCUGGAAUAUGGAGUCGGCGAUGUUACUUUGAAAAAAUUAGAGUGUUCAAAGCAGGCCUAUGCUCUGAAUACAUUAGCAUGGAAUAACGCUAUAGGACUCUGGUCCUAUUGUGUUGGUCUUCGGGACUGGAGUAAUGAUUAAUAGGGACAGUUGGGGGCAUUCGUAUUUCAUUGUCAGAGGUGAAAUUCUUGGAUUUAUGAAAGACGAACUACUGCGAAAGCAUUUGCCAAGGAUGUUUUCA
This 380-nucleotide ribosomal RNA is filed under the name Groenbladia neglecta. Its description in RNAcentral is "SSU rRNA". It matches the Rfam family "Eukaryotic small subunit ribosomal RNA", at positions 585 to 972 of the family's 1831-position model. The record is from RNAcentral. Lineage: Eukaryota; Viridiplantae; Streptophyta; Zygnematophyceae; Desmidiales; Desmidiaceae. RNAcentral also lists the same sequence under 1 other name.